GGGGGGGGGGGGGGGGGGGGCUGGUGGGUGGGGGGGGGGGGGGCGGGCGAGGGGCUUGCUGCGCGGACGUUCGGGGCGGCCGGGUGGGUACCACGUGGACACCCUCCCUGUCGGACUGGGAUAACUUCGGGACCCCGGAGCUAAUCCCGGCUCAUCUCCUUACCCUCAUGCUUCACUCUUGACACACGGUUAUGCUGUCCCUUAUCCCUGGAUCCGCGCCUCAUUAGCUAGUUGGUAAGGUAACGGCUUACCAAGGCCACGAUGCGUCGCCGACCUGAGAGGGGGAUCGGCCACAAGGGAACGGAGACACGGUCCAGACUCCUACGGGAGGCCGCAGUAGGGAAUCUUCCGCAAUGGGCGAAAGCCUGACGGAGCAACGGCGCGUGAGUGAUGAAGGUCUUCGGAUCGUAAAACUCUGUUAUUAGGGAAGAACAAAUGUGUAAGUAACUAUGCACGUCUUGACGGUACCUAAUCAGAAAGCCACGGCUAACUACGUG
Molecule: ribosomal RNA, 497 nt
Filed under: uncultured bacterium
Lineage: Bacteria
Description: partial 16S ribosomal RNA
Rfam family: Bacterial small subunit ribosomal RNA
Source: RNAcentral